RNAcentral lists this ribosomal RNA (477 nucleotides) under uncultured Allobrachymonas sp. RNAcentral describes it as "bacterial SSU rRNA". It matches the Rfam family "Bacterial small subunit ribosomal RNA", at positions 901 to 1382 of the family's 1533-position model. Lineage: Bacteria; Pseudomonadati; Pseudomonadota; Betaproteobacteria; Burkholderiales; Comamonadaceae. The record is from RNAcentral.
UUAAAGGAAUUGACGGGGACCCGCACAAGCGGUGGAUGAUGUGGUUUAAUUCGAUGCAACGCGAAAACCUUACCCACCUUUGACAUGGCAGGAAUCCUAAAGAGAUUUUGGAGUGCUCGAAAGAGAACCUGCACACAGGUGCUGCAUGGCUGUCGUCAGCUCGUGUCGUGAGAUGUUGGGUUAAGUCCCGCAACGAGCGCAACCCUUGCCAUUAGUUGCUACGAAAGGGCACUCUAAAUGGGACUGCCGGUGACAAACCGGAGGAAGGUGGGGAUGACGUCAAGUCCUCAUGGCCCUUAUAGGUGGGGCUACACACGUCAUACAAUGGCCGGUACAGAGGGUAGCCAACCCGCGAGGGGGAGCCAAUCCCACAAAGCCGGUCGUAGUCCGGAUCGCAGUCUGCAACUCGACUGCGUGAAGUCGGAAUCGCUAGUAAUCGCGGAUCAGCAUGUCGCGGUGAAUACGUUCCCGGGUCUU